GUUUAUACCACGCAUUAAUCGAAUCCGCAUCGACUCAAUACGCUUUCUUGCCAAGUGUUUAUGCAAUAGACUUAAAACCGUGUUCAGUGCAACCGCUUUGUAAUGCAUGUCGAAUCAGCUGUUUUCUGUUGAUAUUCCUUCAUUGGUGUUAAAUUCACCGAGAUGAACGGAGAAAACAAUUCUAAAAACUUGCUUUUUACACAAGAAUGAUAGAAUACAAGAUUACGACGACCGCCAUUACGAAACGUCAUAGUUCCAUGUUGAGAAGAAAAAGAGUAAAAAUCUGUCAAAUGGCUUGCAAAUAGUAAAUAGAAAAGUAAACACUUUUGUAAAUUCGCAAAAUAUUAUUAAUUCUUUCGAUUUUAAUGAAAAGUUUUAGUGAAGCGAUUGAAUAUUGUUGAGUGAAAAGAUUUGAAUCAUUUCUAAAGAAAUAUAUCGGCCUAUUGAUAAUAAAAUUGUCUAUUAAGUUGUGAUUCAAAUGGAGAAGACGUUUCUUGUGUUGUAUAUAAAUAUAUACAUAUAUUAUAAGUUCAGAUGUAUCAGAUGUAUGAAAAUAUGAUAAAAGAAUUGUGAAAUUAUUAAUUUAGUAUUAAAUAUAUCAUUUCUUUUGCAAAAUAACACCCAUUUUUUGGCAACUUUUAAAUCGGCCGGAAAAUUGAAAAACCUCGUUUUCGAUCCUUUAAUUGCAUAAUAAUUAUUACAAAAAGCCACUGCACAUUUCAUUUUAAAAAAUUAAUAUAUUUAUGCUUAGAAAUUUAAAUAAAUACAACAGUACACUUACACUGGUUUUCUUCAUUUGAACAAUUUCCACACAUGCUACUCUAUUUAUUGUGGAUGUGCCUAAAACUAAUUAUAUACAUAUUUUCUCGCAACAAUAUUCUAAACAUUCUACUGAAAUUUUUCCUACAAAGACGAAUGAAUUAAUAUUAUUUUGGGAAUUUCAAAAAGUGUUUAGUUUUCUGUUUACAAUUUGUAUGCAUUUCUAUGCUUGUUCUUCUCAACGCAAAACUGUUACGUCACGAAAUUGUUGAACAAUGUAUUUGUUUUUCGGUGAAAAGAAAGAGGUCUAUUUGUAUAAAUCAACAUUUGACUGCGGAUUCAGACAUAUUCAAGUUGCUUGACAAAAGAAAGGAAAACUUAAAAGAAUUUUGGGUUUCACACAGCAAUGUUCCAAAUUUAUUUUUAACAACCAAUAUGCCGCGAAUUCGUAGUUUAUAGAAAAGGAAACGAAACGACAACUGUUGGUGGAUCCUCAAACAGCCAGUUCGAAGCGUUCUGAAUGAGCAAGAAGUCUUUCUUAUUGCUUUGUGAAAAACUGGAUCCUUUUCUCAGAAGGGACUGUGAGCCGUCACUUUGCCUCUUCCAACAGAGAGAUGGUGUACAUAAAAGCACAGUUCACAAAUACUUCCAUUUAGUAGUGAGUGACUUAAUACAACUGAAAAAUGAAAUGAUCAAGUUUCCAAAAUUGGAAGACGCAUUAAUAAUUGCAAAUGAAUUCGAAAAGAAGUCUUGUAUUAUAAACAUUAUUGGUGCAAUUGAUGGUACCCAUGUUCCAGUCUUGCCGCCAAGUGAUGGAUUCUUAGAUUUUAUAAAUAGAAAAGGAUGGCCUUCGAUUGUAAUGCAAGGGGUCGUAGAUAACAACUAUUUAUAAGAAGAUAUGUAGAAAAACGUACAUUUUGGUGUAAAUUAUUAAACAUUGUGUUCUAUUAAUACAGGUUUACAGACGUCAGCGUGAAGCUUCCAGGUAGUACUCACGAUGCGACGGUAUUUAAGGAAUCAGGAAUAUUCAAAAACUGCUCAACCAGUAUUCCAAUAUACACAAAAUUGGUAAAUAAUAUAGAAACGCCUUUAUUUCUUGUUUGGGACCCUGCAUAUCCUCUUCUUCCAUGGUUGAUGAAGCCAUUUAUUGGCAACUUAAAUGCUGAAGAGGAAUCGUUCAAUUGCCACUCAGUUGAGUUCCGCACAAAUAGUGGUAGUAAACGCAUUCGGCAGAUUGAAAGGACGCUGGCGAUGCAUUGCAAAACGAAUCGAUGUCGACCCUGCUUUCGUUCCACAAGUUGUUCUGGCUUGUGCAAUUCUACACAACUAUGUUGAGCAGCAGAAGGAAUCAUAUUUGGAGUUCUGGUCCCAAUCCGUCCAAGAAGAUAUACAUUACUUACAGCCACAAGAUACUAUUACAAGUGAGAUAAUUAGCGAAAGAACCAUCCAUCCCAAAGAUUUGCGAAAUAAUAUUAAAAAUUGGCUGAAAGACAAUUAUCCUUUACGAACAUCACAUUUCUAACAAUUUUUUCCUACUCAUAAAUAUUUCAGUUAGCGGAAUCAUACUAUUGAAUAUACUCGUAUUAUUAUAUUAAUUAUAUGUAUGUGCUAACCCCUAUUUCCUUAAUAUAAGAAAAUCGCUGUGUAAACUUUAAGAGUUUAAAAACGUGUAUUAGAAAAUUAAAAAGCUCUUACAAUUCAUUAAAUAAUAUGACUUAAAAAGUUAACAGCUAAUAUCAAGGUCAUGUUAUUUAGCUGGAGAUGACUGCGGCGUGGAUGCAAAAAUACCAUUACAUUCCGGAGUUGGCG
Bactrocera neohumeralis is the source of this 2568-nucleotide long non-coding RNA. RefSeq lists it as uncharacterized. The record is from RefSeq and is a predicted model, not a curated record. NCBI's taxonomy places the organism in Eukaryota, Metazoa, Arthropoda, Insecta, Diptera, Tephritidae. The transcript has 3 exons.